Molecule: non-coding RNA, 208 nt
Rfam family: Streptomyces RNA 1601
About the family: Identified by deep sequencing of transcriptome at the end of exponential growth phase. Appears longer on northern blot than sequencing transcript. Streptomyces specific.
GACGACCGGCUGGACGCGACUGUGUCCGGCCCACAAGUGGAGGCUCCGAUUCUCCCACCUUGCCGCCCUCGGGGCGGCGGGUCACCGGUCACGCGGCACCCAUCGUUCCGUACGGACGAUGGAGCCGCUGAUACGCGCCCCGCGGUUGCCGCGGCGGUGCUCCGGUAGCAAUGGAGCAGCCGCCUGUGUCCCGUCCGGGGCAUUUUUC